RNAcentral lists this microRNA (17 nucleotides) under Homo sapiens (human). Its description in RNAcentral is "hsa-miR-4478". The record is from miRBase by way of RNAcentral. Lineage: Eukaryota; Metazoa; Chordata; Mammalia; Primates; Hominidae.
GAGGCUGAGCUGAGGAG